AUUCCACACAGGAAGGCCAGAGCAGGAUUCUAACCCACGACCUCUGCACUGUGAGGCGGAUGUGGUAAGCAGUCGAUCACCAUGCUGCAAAAUGAAUCAGAAUUUAAAGCUAAAAUUCUUUUUCUAUUUGCUUGGAACAGUCCAAUGCCAAAUGCCUUUUACAUUGUAAUCAAUCGUUUUAGUUUGGUAUGAAAAACAACAAUAAAUAUGAAAAUCAUCAACUACCAUCACAGUUUACAAAUGUUACAGAACAAAGGAACGGCUCAUUGGCAGUUUUGGAACUGCCAACGUCCAUCGAAGUCCAAGGGGUGAAAAAACAGACAAGUCAAUGGUCCCUUUUUUCUUUCUCAGUUAUGUGGAUGAUGAAUCCAAAUAAUCAUCAGCCAUCUCAUCGAACUCAACACAAACAUCCGAAAGCGUUCACUCCACCCGCAAGCGCCUCAGGACAAGACGAAGGCACCUAUGACUCAAUGAGGGCUGGAGGAGGGGUGAUAGCACUUGUGGUCCGCUGACAGAGGCUUGAGCUUUCUAUACGACACAAGCCAUCUGCUAGUGUGUGUGUGUGUGUGUGUGUGUGUGUCCACAGGCUAUGUGAUAUAAACAAAAUACCUCACAAUUUACACAUACAGAAAUUGAGGGUAAUCAAUCCAACCUCACUGCAAGUCCAAACUUUCACAAUAGCCUUUUCAGAGACCCAUUAGCUUCGCGACACUUACUUUGGCUGUUGAAUGAAUUGUGUUUGGUCUAAAAAGGGCUUCAAACGUGGUCCAGAGAUGGGCUACAGUGUCAAAGCUGUGUUGUUGUGUCUUGGUCUUUGGCAUGAAUACCACAUGUUGGUUUCAUAUGUUGACACAGAACCAACUGCGACCACUGUUGACAGACUGAGUGCUGAUAAUGACAUGUCUAAUUCAUUUAAACGUGAUGAGGUACAAAUUGAACUCAGAUGAAGACAGUGAUGUCUGUUUUAAAUAGUCAAAAAAGGAAUAGCCAAUAUAUUCAUUACCAUUUGAGGAAACCUAUUUGCAUAUUUCCUAUUUCCAUUUCAAAGAGACUUUUGAAGAUACAAAUUCCAAAUAUCAUUUUUGGAAUGGAACACAAAUGCCACCCCUAAAUCAGGAAUAGGCUCCAGUUCCUCGCAAAACAGAACAAGCCUCUGACGGAUGAUGAACGAUGGACCGGCAAAUUUUUGUAAAUUGCGCAUCUCUGCUCUUCUGAUAUCGUUUAAUGAGAAAAGAUUUAUCUAUUGUACUAUCAUAGUUAUAGUGUUGUAUGUUUGAUUGUUCUCAAGCACUUCCUUAGAGCUGCUAUUACUUUUUGAUAUUGUGUAAAUAACCCAAGGUGGGCAUCAUCAGUCCGGUGUAUCUGUCAGUGAGUUUUCGUGAGUAUUUCAGGCUGGGCCAGCCUGAAAGGAAUUGUCAGCGACAGCCAAACAGCAUUGGGAAGGUACUUAAAUGGCAUUAGGUCACACGCAGGUGCAGCACACCUGACACGCAGUCAAAUACUGAAAAAAAAUAAAAAAGUCUUGUUUACCUUUCAGCCCCACAGACCUCAAUAACAUGUGUGCCAUUUACCGUAUUUUCCGCUCAAUAAGGCGCACCUUCAAUCUUCGCAAAAGCCCACAGUGCUCCAUGUUAUCCAAUGCGCCUUAUAUAUGGUGGUAACAAUCUCUUUGUAUUCCUCAAUGACUUGUUUCCCUGUUAGUGUUCCUAUGCCAUCUAGGGGUGAUUAUUAGCAGGAACCAAUUGUAACCUAAAAGGGUUCCGCCCGACACUAAUUGACGUGUGUAUUCGCCAACUCAGACUCAAACAAUCAGACAACUACUUUGUGAGCUCUGCCCAGCCAUUAUGAAAGGAAGAUAAUACCCAAAGUAGUAACUAGUAAUAGUAAAUAGUAACAGACUAAAUCAGGGCUGUCAAACUCAUUUCACAAUGUGGGCCACAUACGGCCUCGGUAGAUGUCAAGUGGGCCGGACCAUUAAAAUUAUACAAUACUCUGUUAUAAAUAACUAAAAUAAAAUGCCUUUCCUUUGUAUUGGUCUGAAGAAGCACAAGAAGAUUAGGAAAAUGUUGACAUUUAAUGAACAUAUCUUACAAAACAUGUCAUGUAGCACCUUAGAUUUCCUUAGACAAAUGUGCAAUUUACUUUUAUCAUUUACAUAUAUGCAUUGAAACUGAUCCCACGGAUUGUACAAAGGCACAAGACUUUCACAAGUAAUAUGAUAUUGAAAAAUAUAGUAAUUCAUUUUAAGAUUAAACAAGAUUUAUAAAGAAAGGAAUUUUAAAACCAUUUACACAUGUGCAUAUGAAACCUAAAUGUAAUCCCUGCCCACACCUUACAAACCAAGGAGAGUGCUAUUAAAUGUGUAAAGAAUAAAGUAUUCACAUGUCCUUGAUAGCAUCUGCUGUGUUGGGUCUGUCUCAGUGACAGACUGAGGCUGCUGUUGUCUUCUUCUCGGAUCAAAACAAUAUUGUCUUCUAUUCUGAUCAAAAUAGUGUGUCCAAUCGCGGAUACUCCAUGAAUUUUAUUGAAAAUAUUAAUUCCGUGUCUUAAUGCAUUUUUUCACGUUUAAAUUAUCCUGCGGGCCUGACUGAACCUCCUUGGGGCCGGUUCCGGCCCUUGGGCCGGAUGUUUGACACCAAUGGACUAAAUGAAGGAAGGAGACAGGCGAGACUGCUAAGGAUAUUUAGCCCCUUGUCAAUGUGCGACCACAAGGUCUGCGUUCGUGACCAUUUGUCACGGCUUGCCAAUGGAUAAACCCUGUAUUUUUAUGGACUUUGUGUCAUGCUUCAUGCUAUAUCCUGAGGGAGCUACAUAUGGAUGGGCUGCAAAGGGCUGGGAAGCAGUUCAGGGUGUUCCGCGCCGACUACCUGAAGACAGCUGGGACAGGCUCCAGCACUCGCGCGACCCUUGUGAGGAUAAGCAUAUGAGAAAAUGAAUGAAUGAAUGAAUGAACGGAUACUCAGUGACAUGUCAGUACGUCGAGCUUUCUCCCAGUCUGAGUGUCAAAUCUCUUUCAUGCCUUCUACAUCCAGCCCUGCUCUCUGUAGUUACUUUGUAUUUUCAUUGAUAAAGAUAUGCCAGCUGCCAUGAACUGGUUGCCAGACAAUCGCAGGGCACACAUCGACGAACAACCAUCCGCGCUCAGACUCACAGUUAGGGACAAUUUAGACUGUUCCAUUAAUCUGCCAUACAUGUCUUUGGAAUGUGGGAGGUAACCGGAGUACCCGGAGAAAACCCAUGGAGAACAUGCAAACUCCACACAAGAAGGUCGGAGCCGGAAUCGAACCCUGCACCUUUCCACUGUGAGGCCGACGCGCUAACCAGUCGACGACCAGACUUGUGAUUCAUUGUUUUAGGUUUACCCACAGAGUUUGUAAAUAUGAAUGGUUCUUUGCCUAUUUGUGUCCAGUGAUUGACAAGUGACCAAUCCUGGGUGUAUCCCACCUCUUGCCCUUAUAUCAGCUCAGUUUUUGUUUCUAACCGUACACAGGAAUAGUUGUUAUGAUUGCAUUGUUGUAGAUAUUUUUGAAAUGUGUUGUUGUUGUUUUAUGUAAAAUGCUGUGGAAAGCACUUUGUUACAGCUGCAGCUGUUGUGAAAGCGCUACAUAAAUAAAGGAUGUGUUGUAUUGUA
Hippocampus zosterae (dwarf seahorse) is the source of this 3631-nucleotide long non-coding RNA. RefSeq lists it as uncharacterized. The transcript has 2 exons. NCBI's taxonomy places the organism in Eukaryota, Metazoa, Chordata, Actinopteri, Syngnathiformes, Syngnathidae. The record is from RefSeq and is a predicted model, not a curated record.